CAGAACGAACGCUGGCAGCGUGGAUUAGGCAUGCAAGUCGGACGGGAUCGGGAAGGUAGCAAUAUCGGCCCGUGAGAGUGGCGGAAGGGCGAGGAACACGUGGGCAACCUGUCCUUGAAGGUGGGGAAAACCGCUGGAAACGGCGGCUAAUACCGAAUGUGGCGCCGGGAGGCAUCUUCCGAGCGCUAAAGGGGGCGAAAGCUCCCCCUCUUCGAGGGGCUCGCGCACCAUCAGCUUGUUGGCGGGGUAACGGCCCACCAAGGCUCACGGUUAGCUGGUCUGAGAGGAUGGCCAGCCGCACUGGGACUGAGAUACUGCCCAGACUCCUACGGGAGGCUGCAGUCGAGGAUCACUCGCAAUGGGGGAAACCCUGACGAUGCGACGCUGCCGUGGAGGAUGAAGGCCCUCGGGUCGUAAACUCCUGUCAUGAGGGAAAAGGCGAGGGGACCCAACACGUCCCUUAGUUGAUGGUACCUCAAGAGGAACGGGCGGCUAACUCUGUGCCAGCCGCGGC
Molecule: ribosomal RNA, 514 nt
Filed under: uncultured bacterium
Lineage: Bacteria
Description: bacterial SSU rRNA
Rfam family: Bacterial small subunit ribosomal RNA
Source: RNAcentral